UACGUAGGGUGCAAGCGUUGUCCGGAAUUAUUGGGCGUAAAGAGCUCGUAGGCGGUCUGUCGCGUCGGCUGUGAAAACCCGGAGCUCAACUCCGGGCCUGCAGUCGAUACGGGCAGACUGGAGUUCGGUAGGGGAGACUGGAAUUCCUGGUGUAGCGGUGAAAUGCGCAGAUAUCAGGAGGAACACCGGUGGCGAAGGCGGGUCUCUGGGCCGAUACUGACGCUGAGGAGCGAAAGCGUGGGGAGCGAACAGG
RNAcentral lists this ribosomal RNA (253 nucleotides) under uncultured bacterium. RNAcentral describes it as "partial 16S ribosomal RNA". It matches the Rfam family "Bacterial small subunit ribosomal RNA", at positions 524 to 776 of the family's 1533-position model. The record is from RNAcentral.